AAUAGUUUAUAAAUGGUGGUUACGCUAAUUGAAGCUAAAAUUUUGUGGUGUAAAAAAGUUUGAAAAAUUCACAGAAAAUUGUGAAAAUCAUUUUGUUAUGUGUGUUUUUAAUCUAUAAAUUGUGUUGUUUAGUGUUCAAAAUAAAUAAUGAAUGAUUUUGAGUUGUGACUCUAAUAAAUCGUGUUCUCCGGUGUUUAUUGAUUAUAAUUUAUUGAUCUGAUAUCAGUGUUUUGAUUAAGUCUCCAGUCAUUUUGUCAUUCAUUAUUAUCAUUAUCUACAGAACAGUGCUUUUAUGAUCAGAAGGAGUUAAAAUUGAGGAUCAUGCAAAAGAGAAUUGAGAGGGUGGUGAUGUGAAAAGUUAUAUACACAUGUGAAAAUUUUAAUACCAAUGAGAAAAAAUGUGUUGUUAAUAAGAG
Molecule: long non-coding RNA, 416 nt
Organism: Diachasma alloeum
Lineage: Eukaryota; Metazoa; Arthropoda; Insecta; Hymenoptera; Braconidae
Exons: 3
Source: RefSeq, a predicted model, not a curated record